CCCCUCAAUGAUUUUGAACUAAUUUCCUUUCUUCUUGCAGGGUUAGGAUCUGAAUUUGAUCCUUUUGUGACAUCUGUCACUACCAGGGUCGACCCUAUGACAAUGGAGGAACUCUACUCUCAUCUUCUCACGCACGAGA
Molecule: small nucleolar RNA, 139 nt
Organism: Alnus glutinosa
Lineage: Eukaryota; Viridiplantae; Streptophyta; Magnoliopsida; Fagales; Betulaceae
Product: small nucleolar RNA Z247
Exons: 1
Source: RefSeq, a predicted model, not a curated record